This 1388-nucleotide ribosomal RNA is filed under the name metagenome. RNAcentral describes it as "bacterial LSU rRNA". It matches the Rfam family "Bacterial large subunit ribosomal RNA", at positions 1518 to 2925 of the family's 2925-position model. The record is from RNAcentral.
GAGGUACCAGUAUGGUAGGAAAAACCGCCAUGCAAUGGGAAGACGUGAUGUGGAGUGAAAUAUAGUAACGAAGCCCGUGAGCCAUGCGUCAAGAAAAGCCGCUAUUGUUUAUAUUGUACCCGUACCGUAAACCGACACAGGUGGAUGAGGAGAGAAUCCUAAGGCCGGCGGAAGAAGUAUUGCCAAGGAACUCGGCAAAAUGGCCCCGUAACUUAGGGAGAAGGGGUGCCUGCGAGAGCAGGCCGCAGAGAAUAGGCUCAAGCAACUGUUUAGCAAAAACACAGGUCUAUGCGAAACCGAAAGGUGAGGUAUAUGGGCUGACGCCUGCCCGGUGCUGGAAGGUUAAGAGGAGAGGUAGACGCAAGUCGAAGCUUUGAAUUUAAGCCCCAGUAAACGGCGGCCGUAACGAUAACGGUCCUAAGGUGGCGAAAUUCCUUGUCGGGUAAGUUCCGACCCGCACGAAAGGCGUAAUGAUUUGAGCGCUGUCUCGGCAAUACAUCCGGUGAAAUUGAAGUGCCAGUGAAGAUGCUGGCUACCCGCGCCAGGACGGAAAGACCCCAUGGAGCUUUACUCCAGUUUGGCACUGGGGUCCGGUGUUGCAUGUACAGGAUAGGUGGGAGGCUGAGAGAUAGUGACGUCAGUUGCUAUGGAGCCGCUGUUGGGAUACCACCCUUGUGAUAUUGGGCUUCUAACCAGCCGCCGUGAACCGGCGGUGGGACAAUGCCAGGCGGGGAGUUUGACUGGGGCGGUCGCCUCCGAAAGGGUAUCGGAGGCGCCCAAAGGUUCCCUCAGAAUGGACGGAAACCAUUCGAAGAGUGCAAAGGCAGAAGGGAGCUUGACUGCGACACCGACGGGUGGAGCAGGUACGAAAGUAGGGCUUAGUGAUCCGGUGGUAUUAAGUGGGAAUGCCAUCGCUCAACGGAUAAAAGCUACCCUGGGAUAACAGGCUUAUCACUCCCAAGAGUUCACAUCGACGGAGUGGUUUGGCACCUCGAUGUCGGCUCAUCGCAUCCUGGGGCUGUAGUAGGUCCCAAGGGUUGGGCUGUUCGCCCAUUAAAGCGGUACGCGAGCUGGGUUCAGAACGUCGUGAGACAGUUCGGUCCCUAUCCGGCGUGGGCGUAGGAUAUCUGAGAGGAGCUGUCCUUAGUACGAGAGGACCGGGAUGGACGGACCGCUGGUGGACCGGUUGGCUUGCCAAAGCCAUGGCCGGGUAGCCAAGUCCGGAAGGGAUAAACGCUGAAGGCAUCUAAGCGUGAAGCCCCCCUCAAGAUGAGAUAUCCCAUUCUUUAAGAAGUAAACCCCCUUGAAGACGACGAGGUAGAUAGGGCAGAGGUGGAAGUGUGGUAACACAUGGAGCUGACUGUUACUAAUCGGGUGAGGGCUUGACC